RNAcentral lists this ribosomal RNA (468 nucleotides) under uncultured bacterium. Its description in RNAcentral is "partial 16S ribosomal RNA". It matches the Rfam family "Bacterial small subunit ribosomal RNA", at positions 28 to 507 of the family's 1533-position model. The record is from RNAcentral.
GACGAACGCUUGCGGCGUGCUUAACACAUGCAAGUCGAACGGAAAGGCCCUGCUUUUGUGGGGUGCUCGAGUGGCGAACGGGUGAGUAACACGUGAGUAACCUGCCCUUGACUUUGGGAUAACUUCAGGAAACUGGGGCUAAUACCGGAUAGGAGCUCCUGCUGCAUGGUGGGGGUUGGAAAGUUUCGGCGGUUGGGGAUGGACUCGCGGCUUAUCAGCUUGUUGGUGGGGCAGUGGCUUACCAAGGCUUUGACGGGUAGCCGGCCUGAGAGGGUGACCGGCCACAUUGGGACUGAGAUACGGCCCAGACUCCUACGGGAGGCAGCAGUGGGGAAUAUUGCACAAUGGGCGGAAGCCUGAUGCAGCAACGCCGCGUGCGGGAUGACGGCCUUCGGGUUGUAAACCGCUUUCGCCUGUGACGAAGCGUGAGUGACGGUAAUGGGUAAAGAAGCACCGGCUAACUACGUG